This 758-nucleotide unclassified non-coding RNA is filed under the name Hevea brasiliensis (rubber tree). The record is from RNAcentral. Lineage: Eukaryota; Viridiplantae; Streptophyta; Magnoliopsida; Malpighiales; Euphorbiaceae.
AUUUGGUGCAUGUUUGCAUGCCCUAAAAUGAUGGCAGAGUUUGUUGGAACUGCUUUCAUUAACAACAUUAACUUGAAUAUUCUGUGCAAUUGGAGAGAUUCAUCUUAAUUUUAGUGAACUCUGGAAUUGAGGAUCAAGGAGAGUUGCAGGUCUUAUAGUUGUGAACUACAUGUUAGAUGCAAAUGUUCUUGGUGCAUGAUGACCUCCUGCUACUUUUAAUUUUAUCAAGCAUUUCUUCAGGGCAUUGCUAAUGCAUCAACAUGUGAAAACUUUGUUCUUGGUAUCAUGAAUCUGGUUAAUUAGGUCCUAUUUUGAGUUGUUAUUUUAUUUAUGUUGUCGUGAUUAGAAGUAUUACCUUGAUGGGAUUAUUUGACUGAGGGAAUAUCUUAUUGAAAUCCAAUGUUCAAGUACACCUUUUCUCCCAUCUGCUGGAGCUUUCUACUUCUGGGAUUUCUAUUAAAUGUCAUCUUGUGCUUCUGUUUGGGUUUUCCUCACUGGCAACACUAACCUUAUAGUCCUGAUAAAUGGUGGCAGCAAUACUAAAUCUUUUCAUAAACUCAGUUCAUUUUAUUGUCUUGAUCUUUGAUGCACGGAAACGGCGAGGGGUGGCAUUUCCCCGUGUCGGAAACAUUUCUGACAUGGAAAUGGCGAGACACGGCUGGGAAACUUUUCGGGGCCAUCUCCGCAAUUUUCAGAAGUUGGACACAUGUUUCCUAUGCUGGAAACACGUUUCUUUUAAAAAUAUAUACAUAUAUAUA